RNAcentral lists this ribosomal RNA (440 nucleotides) under uncultured bacterium. RNAcentral's name for it is "partial 16S ribosomal RNA". It matches the Rfam family "Bacterial small subunit ribosomal RNA", at positions 338 to 795 of the family's 1533-position model. The record is from RNAcentral.
CCUACGGGGUGCAGCAGUGGGGAAUAUUGCACAAUGGGGGAAACCCUGAUGCAGCGACGCCGCGUGAGUGAAGAAGUAAUUCGUUAUGUAAAGCUCUAUCAGCAGGGAAGAAAAUGACGGUACCUGAGUAAGAAACCCCGGCUAACUACGUGCCAGCAGCCGCGGUAAUACGUAGGGGGCAAGCGUUAUCCGGAUUUACUGGGUGGAAAGGGAGCGUAGACGGCAGUGCAAGUCUGGAGUGAAAGGCGGGGGCUCAACCCCCGGACUGCUCUGGAAACUGUACGGCUGGAGUGCAGGAGAGGUAAGUGGAAUUCCUAGUGUAGCGGUGAAAUGCGUAGAUAUUAGGAGGAACACCAGUGGCGAAGGCGGCUUACUGGACUGUAACUGACGUUGAGGCUCGAAAGCGUGGGGAGCAAACAGGAUUAGAUACCCUUGUAGUC